GUGCUCGUUUCUCUUCAGAUCGCAUUUUAAAUCUUUCGCCUUUUACUAAGAGUUCCGUGGAGAGGCACAACAGAGAUUUGACAAUUUUUUUGGUGUCUCUGUUAACAGUUGG
RNAcentral lists this small nuclear RNA (112 nucleotides) under Neogobius melanostomus (round goby). RNAcentral describes it as "U5 spliceosomal RNA (ENSNMLG00000027224.1)". It matches the Rfam family "U5 spliceosomal RNA". From Rfam's summary of the family: U5 RNA is a component of both types of known spliceosome. The record is from Rfam by way of RNAcentral. Lineage: Eukaryota; Metazoa; Chordata; Actinopteri; Gobiiformes; Gobiidae.